Molecule: long non-coding RNA, 1698 nt
Filed under: Homo sapiens (human)
Lineage: Eukaryota; Metazoa; Chordata; Mammalia; Primates; Hominidae
Description: non-protein coding lnc-EDC3-2:17
Source: RNAcentral
ACCAGAUGCAGGGAUCCCAGGGACAGGCUGAGUGGAGGAGGCCAGACCAGAACAUAGAAGACAAGUGAGUGGGGCUGGGCUGUGGGGGAGGGGUGGGGUGGCAGGGAACAGGCAGACCAUCCCUUCUACCCACAGGAUCCUGCUGCUGCAGACAGAAGUGGAAAAGGCCUAGCGGCAUUUGGACCAAAUGACCCAACAGCCUGUUGGCCCAGAGCCCAGCCUGGGGAUCCCCCAAGUGGGUGCAUGGCAGGCCCUGCGCACUGGCCCUGCUGUACCUUUGACUCUGCCCCACACUUUAUUCUCUGGUCCUCAUUAUUGAAGCAUUAUCUAGAGAAGGAAGGCAGCGCAGGGGCUUAGUCCAGCCAAGAGAGGGAUCCUCUUCCAACAUUUGGGAAUACCCUGGGAUCAUUCAGUGACUUCCCUCCUGGUUCAGAUGGGAAAACUGAGACCAGAGAGCAGAGGAGAGCUUGUUCAGAGUCAUAACUUGAGUUGGGGCCAGGACCCUGCCACAACAUGCCCUGAGGCAUCAACGGUCUGCCAAGACCACCCCAGUGUGGUCUGGAAGCUGGAAGGAGACCCCAGGAUUCUGGACCAAGUGUAUCUACAGGAGAUGCUGGUGCCAGGCCUGCAGAUCCAAGAGCAGAGCUGGGAUGGAGGCAGGGCCCAGGAGCUUCGGGACCCAGAGUCUCCAUGCCAGCAGCUGAGACCCCUGCCCAGGCUCAGGACACAGUCCGUCUGCAGGAGCAGUUGCUGAUACUCACUGAGGUGAACAAGAGACUCAGAAGAGCUGGGCCAGAGCCACCAGCAACUAGGGGCCUGCUUGGAGCAGCUGCAGCAUCUGCAGGGAGAGCAGAUGGUGUUGGGGGGCCAUUGCAGGCCCUGGAGGCAGAGCACACCUGGCUACUUCAGGAGAAGGUGGGGCUGCUAGCAGCACUGGGUGUGGCCCCGGGCCAAGAGUCCUGUACACUCCAGGUCCUGGAGGUACCAGUGCCCCUCAGGAAAGAGCUAGAGGCACAAGAAUCACAUCCCAGGCUUCAUGAGGAGAUGGCUGAAUAUUGGAAGGCACGCUGGCACCGGCUGGCAGUUGCCCUGAAAUUUAAAGAGGAGGAACUGCAGAGACUCCAGAGGCAGAGUGGGACCUGGCCUCCCCAGCAUGCAUUUAUUGAGCAUCUGCUACAUGCCUGGCCCUCUUCUGUGUGCAGAAGCAAUGUCAAAUCAGAUCACUCCUUGUCCUCAACAGCUUAUGGUUUGGGGGCACCCGGUAAUUGACGUCAGCUGGUGGAUCCAGGGCUGGGUACUGAGCCGUACUGGACCAGUGGGCCCCCUCCCGGGAUCGCUGGACUUGGAGCAGAAGAGUCCCUCCAGGGCUGAAGAUUGGACACAGAAAACUUGGGAACUGUCAACUGCCCUGUUAUUCACCUCGUGAAAAAAGCUGGAUUUCUAAUGAGAGCGAAUGGAGGUGACAAUUCCCAGAAACUGGAAUUGGGAUGGUGAGAUUUUAGUUCAGCCGCCGGCGGUCUCAUGCGUGGAGGUGAUAAAGUUGAGCUUUGAGGUGGUCUUCAGAGGGAGAGGAAUACCCUCUGCGGGCAGAGCUUCCUGGGUUCCGGGCCCUUCCGGACGUCAACACAGGUCCAAAUGCCCUUGGGCUCCUCCGCACACCCUGGGUGCAAGAAUAAAUCCUUCUCUCUGCCGCCAUUA